AUGGGGCACUAUGCCACAGAUUGCCCAGGGGCGAAGAACUCAGGAUCCAGCAAGCCAAACCCCUUCCAAAAGGGUCAUGUAAAUCAUGUUAAUGUGGAGGAGGUUUACAAUGAACCUGAUGCAGUGAUUGGUAAGUUCUUGAUUAAUUCAGUACCUGCAGUUAUUCUUUUUGAUACUCGUGCAUCGCAUUCAUUCAUUUUGAGGGUAUUUGUUGAUAAACAUGGAUUGCCAACCAAAACACUUAGUAUGCCUAUUAGAGUGAGUUCCCCCGGAGCUGAGAUGAUAGCAGGUGUUGGUUGUCAUUAG
Molecule: ribosomal RNA, 306 nt
Filed under: Triticum aestivum (bread wheat)
Lineage: Eukaryota; Viridiplantae; Streptophyta; Magnoliopsida; Poales; Poaceae
Description: partial small subunit ribosomal RNA
Source: RNAcentral